AGCAGCCGCGGUAAUUCCAGCUCCAAUAGCGUAUAUUAAAGUUGUUGCAGUUAAAAAGCUCGUAGUUGAAUUUCGGGGUUCUACCGUUGGUCGGGCAAUAGUCUGUACUGGCGUGUAGAAUUUCUACCUUCUGGGGAACUAUCAUGUUAUUUAUUUAGCGUGGUAGGAAACCAGGACCUUUACCUUGAAAAAAUUAGAGUGUUCAAAGCAGGCUUACGUCUGAAUACAUUAGCAUGGAAUAAUAAAAUAGGACGGUGGUCCUGUUUUGUUGGUUUCUGAAUCACCGUAAUGAUUAAUAGGGAUAGUUGGGGGCAUUAGUAUUCAAUUGUCAGAGGUGAAAUUCUUGGAUUUAUUGAAGACUAACUUCUGCGAAAGCAUUUGCCAAGGAUGUUUUCAUUAAUCAAGAACGAAAGUUAGGGGAUCGAAGACGAUCAGAUACCGUCGUAGUCUUAACCAUAAACUAUGCCGACUAGGGAUCGGAUGAUGUUGAUUUUUAAUGACUCAUUCGGCACCUUACGGG
Molecule: small RNA, 520 nt
Filed under: uncultured Gigaspora
Lineage: Eukaryota; Fungi; Glomeromycota; Glomeromycetes; Diversisporales; Gigasporaceae
Description: SSU rRNA
Rfam family: Eukaryotic small subunit ribosomal RNA
Source: RNAcentral